AUUGAACGCUGGCGGCAUGCUUUACACAUGCAAGUCGGACGAGUGGCGAACGGGUGAGUAACAUAUCGGAACGUACCGAGCAGUGGGGGAUAACUAAUCGAAAGAUUAGCUAAUACCGCAUACUGUUUGAGCGGCCGAUAUCUGAUUAGCUAGUUGGUGGGGUAAAGGCCUACCAAGGCGACGAUCAGUAGCGGGUCUGAGAGGAUGAUCCGCCACACUGGGACUGAGACACGGCCCAGACUCCUACGGGAGGCAGCAGUGGGGAAUUUUGGACAAUGGGCGCAAGCCUGAUCCAGCCAUGCCGCGUGUCUGAUGAAGGCCUUCGGGUUGUAAACUCCUUUCGACAGGGACGCGGUACCUGUAUAAGAAGCACCGGCUAACUACGUGCCAGCAGCCGCGGUAAUAC
RNAcentral lists this ribosomal RNA (406 nucleotides) under uncultured bacterium. RNAcentral describes it as "partial 16S ribosomal RNA". It matches the Rfam family "Bacterial small subunit ribosomal RNA", at positions 30 to 526 of the family's 1533-position model. The record is from RNAcentral.